Molecule: ribosomal RNA, 253 nt
Filed under: uncultured bacterium
Lineage: Bacteria
Description: partial 16S ribosomal RNA
Rfam family: Bacterial small subunit ribosomal RNA
Source: RNAcentral
UACAGAGGUCUCAAGCGUUGUUCGGAAUCACUGGGCGUAAAGGGUGCGUAGGUGGCGUGGCAAGUCAGAUGUGAAAGCCCAGGGCUCAACCCUGGAAUUGCAUCCGAUACUGCCAUGCUGGAGUACUGAAGAGGUGACUAGAAUUCUCGGUGUAGCAGUGAAAUGCGUAGAUAUCGAGAGGAAUACCAAAGGCGAAGGCAGGUCACUGGGCAGUUACUGACACUGAGGCACGAAGGCCAGGGGAGCAAACGGG